This 72-nucleotide transfer RNA is filed under the name Salmo salar (Atlantic salmon). It matches the Rfam family "tRNA". Rfam says of the family: Transfer RNA (tRNA) molecules are approximately 80 nucleotides in length. Their secondary structure includes four short double-helical elements and three loops (D, anti-codon, and T loops). Lineage: Eukaryota; Metazoa; Chordata; Actinopteri; Salmoniformes; Salmonidae. The record is from Rfam by way of RNAcentral.
UCCCGUGUGGCUCAGUUGGUACAGCAUGGUGUUUAUAAUGCCAGGGUUGUGGGUUUGAUUCCCACGAGGGAC